GAUGAACGCUGGCGGCGUGCUUAACACAUGCAAGUCGAACGGUGAAGGCGGAGCUUGCUCUGCUGGAUCAGUGGCGAACGGGUGAGUAACACGUGAGCAAUCUGCCCCUGACUCUGGGAUAAGCGCUGGAAACGGCGUCUAAUACUGGAUACGAGCUGCGAAGGCAUCUUCAGCAGCUGGAAAGAACUUCGGUCAGGGAUGAGCUCGCGGCCUAUCAGCUUGUUGGUGAGGUAACGGCUCACCAAGGCGUCGACGGGUAGCCGGCCUGAGAGGGUGACCGGCCACACUGGGACUGAGACACGGCCCAGACUCCUACGGGAGGCAACAGUGGGGAAUAUUGCACAAUGGGCGAAAGCCUGAUGCAGCAACGCCGCGUGAGGGACGACGGCCUUCGGGUUGUAAACCUCUUUUAGCAGGGAAGAAGCGAAAGUGACGGUACCUGCAGAAAAAGCGCCGGCUAACUACGU
This 467-nucleotide ribosomal RNA is filed under the name uncultured bacterium. RNAcentral describes it as "partial 16S ribosomal RNA". It matches the Rfam family "Bacterial small subunit ribosomal RNA", at positions 28 to 506 of the family's 1533-position model. The record is from RNAcentral.